This 253-nucleotide ribosomal RNA is filed under the name Parabacteroides gordonii MS-1 = DSM 23371. Its description in RNAcentral is "partial 16S ribosomal RNA". It matches the Rfam family "Bacterial small subunit ribosomal RNA", at positions 524 to 776 of the family's 1533-position model. Lineage: Bacteria; Pseudomonadati; Bacteroidota; Bacteroidia; Bacteroidales; Tannerellaceae. The record is from RNAcentral.
UACGGAGGAUCCGAGCGUUAUCCGGAUUUAUUGGGUUUAAAGGGUGCGUAGGUGGUUUAUUAAGUCAGCGGUGAAAGUUUGUGGCUCAACCAUAAAAUUGCCGUUGAAACUGGUUGACUUGAGUAUAUUUGAGGUAGGCGGAAUGCGUGGUGUAGCGGUGAAAUGCAUAGAUAUCACGCAGAACUCCAAUUGCGAAGGCAGCUUACUAAACUAUAACUGACACUGAAGCACGAAAGCGUGGGGAUCAAACAGG